ACCAGGAUGGCUGAGCGGUUAAGGCGUUGGACUCAAGAUUUAAUGUACAUAUGUCCUCGUGGGUUCGAUCCCCACUCCUGGUA
Non-coding RNA from Salmo salar (Atlantic salmon), 83 nucleotides. The record is from Rfam. Lineage: Eukaryota; Metazoa; Chordata; Actinopteri; Salmoniformes; Salmonidae.